ACAACUUGAACUCUCUCACUGAUU
RNAcentral lists this non-coding RNA (24 nucleotides) under Cricetulus griseus (Chinese hamster). The record is from RNAcentral. Lineage: Eukaryota; Metazoa; Chordata; Mammalia; Rodentia; Cricetidae.